This 450-nucleotide ribosomal RNA is filed under the name uncultured bacterium. RNAcentral's name for it is "bacterial SSU rRNA". It matches the Rfam family "Bacterial small subunit ribosomal RNA", at positions 354 to 796 of the family's 1533-position model. The record is from RNAcentral.
GUGGGGAAUUUUGGACAAUGGGCGAAAGCCUGAUCCAGCCAUGCCGCGUGUGUGAAGAAGGUCUUCGGAUUGUAAAGCACUUUAAGUUGGGAGGAAGGGCAGUAAGUUAAUACCUUGCUGUUUUGACGUUACCGACAGAAUAAGCACCGGCUAACUUCGUGCCAGCAGCCGCGGUAAUACGAAGGGUGCAAGCGUUAAUCGGAAUUACUGGGCGUAAAGCGCGCGUAGGUGGUUUUGUAAGUCGGAGGUGAAAUCCCCGGGCUCAACCUGGGAACUGCCUCCAAAAAUGCAUGACUAGAGUACGGUAGAGGGUAGUGGAAUUUCCUGUGUAGCGGUGAAAUGCGUAGAUAUAGGAAGGAACACCAGUGGCGAAGGCGACUACCUGGACUGAUACUGACACUGAGGUGCGAAAGCGUGGGGAGCAAACAGGAUUAGAAACCCCGGUAGUCC